Molecule: non-coding RNA, 89 nt
Organism: Acanthosepion pharaonis
Lineage: Eukaryota; Metazoa; Mollusca; Cephalopoda; Sepiida; Sepiidae
Source: the annotation of a GenBank genome assembly
CGGUUCCCGUACGAUAACCGAAGUUAAGCAAAGUCGAACCUGCUCAGUACCUAGAUGGGUGACCUCUUAAGAAUACCAGGUGAUGUAAG